UACGUAGGGGGCAAGCGUUGUCCGGAAUCAUUGGGCGUAAAGAGCGUGUAGGCGGCCCGAUAAGUCCGCCGUGAAAGUCCAGGGCUCAACCCUGGGAUGCCGGUGGAAACUGUCGGGCUAGAGUCCGGAAGAGGCGAGUGGAAUUCCUGGUGUAGCGGUGAAAUGCGCAGAUAUCAGGAGGAACACCGAUGGCGAAGGCAGCUCGCUGGGACGGUACUGACGCUGAGACGCGAAAGCGUGGGGAGCGAACAGG
RNAcentral lists this ribosomal RNA (253 nucleotides) under uncultured bacterium. Its description in RNAcentral is "partial 16S ribosomal RNA". It matches the Rfam family "Bacterial small subunit ribosomal RNA", at positions 524 to 776 of the family's 1533-position model. The record is from RNAcentral.